GUACACACCGCCCGUCACACCAUGGGAGUUGGGUCCACCCGAAGGCCGUGCGCCAACCUUUAUAGGGGGCAGCGGACCACGGUGAGCUCAGCGACUGGGGUGAAGUCGUAACAAGGUUUCCGUAGGUGAACCUGCAGAAGGAUCA
RNAcentral lists this ribosomal RNA (145 nucleotides) under uncultured eukaryote. Its description in RNAcentral is "partial small subunit ribosomal RNA". It matches the Rfam family "Bacterial small subunit ribosomal RNA", at positions 1383 to 1525 of the family's 1533-position model. The record is from RNAcentral.